This 468-nucleotide ribosomal RNA is filed under the name uncultured bacterium. RNAcentral's name for it is "partial 16S ribosomal RNA". It matches the Rfam family "Bacterial small subunit ribosomal RNA", at positions 28 to 507 of the family's 1533-position model. The record is from RNAcentral.
GAUGAACGCUGGCGGCGUGCCUAACACAUGCAAGUCGAACGGAAAGGCCCUGCUCUUGCGGCGUGCUCGAGUGGCGAACGGGUGAGUAACACGUGAGUAACCUGCCCUUGUCUUUGUGAUAACUUCAGGAAACUGGGGCUAAAAUCGGAUAGGAGCUCCUGCUGCACGGUGGGGGUUGGAAAGUUUCGGCGGUUGGGGAUGGACUCGCGGCUUAUCAGCUUGUUGGUGGGGUAGUGGCUUACGAAGGCUUUGACGGGUAGCCGGCCUGAGAGGGUGACCGGCGACAAUGGGACUGAGAGACGGCGCAGACGCCUACGGGAGGCAGCGGUGGGGAAUAUUGCGGAGUGAGGGGAAGCCUGAUGCAGCGACGCCGCGUGCGGAAUGACGGCCUUCUGGUUAAAAACCGCUUUCUCAGGUGACGAAGAGUGAGUGACGGUAAUGAGUAAGGAAGCACCGGCUAACUACGUG